CUGACGUUAGCGGCGGACGGGUGAGUAACACGUGGGUAACCUACCUAUAAGACUGGGAUAACUCCGGGAAACCGGGGCUAAUACCGGAUAAUACAUGAAACCGCAUGGUUUCAUGAUGAAAGACGGUUUUGCUGUCACUUAUAGAUGGACCCGCGGCGUAUUAGCUAGUUGGUAAGGUAACGGCUUACCAAGGCAACGAUACGUAGCCGACCUGAGAGGGUGAUCGGCCACACUGGAACUGAGACACGGUCCAGACUCCUACGGGAGGCAGCAGGU
RNAcentral lists this ribosomal RNA (276 nucleotides) under uncultured Staphylococcus sp. RNAcentral's name for it is "partial 16S ribosomal RNA". It matches the Rfam family "Bacterial small subunit ribosomal RNA", at positions 86 to 354 of the family's 1533-position model. The record is from RNAcentral. Lineage: Bacteria; Bacillati; Bacillota; Bacilli; Caryophanales; Staphylococcaceae.